AGAGAGAGAGACAGAGAGAGACAGAGAGAGAGAGAGAGUCUUUCAGCAGCAACUGCAACGCGCUUCGCUACUCCGUCGUCCCUUCUUCCCCAUGGAUUCUCGUAUUCCCAAUUUACCAUGAGAUCCACUGCAAUUUCCACCAUUUGAAGCGCACGUUAAGCCUCUGCGCAUCGCCAAUCCACGUUAGCUUUUACCCUCUUCCUCUGCGCAUGCCUCCUACCGUAUUUAUCCUCUUCUCUUAUCUCACAUGCACUGAAUUUCAAGUACAGAGAUUUCACUGAGAAAUCCUACGCCUGUGAAAACGUAGCUUUUCUUCCGCUUCGAAUCCGGUCAUUCACUCGACAACGACGACGACGACGACGACGACUACAAUCUGCCGUCCGUUCGAUGAUGCCAAAGCACCGGGACCGGGCCUUGAAAGAGCUCUACGAUCUUACCGGCAAGAUUCGGGGACCUGAGAUCACUCCAGUCUUGAGAGGGAGAUGCCGUAUACAAGGGCCUGUGGAGGAGACCGACCAUGGCGUUCGGACAGUUAAGCAGGAAGGAUCGCCAUCUGAAAAAAGAAUUGUUAAGGGUGCCAUUAAUGAGAAUUUUCAUAUGAGAUUGGAAUCUGGAACGUGUAACGUUUGUGCCACUCCUUGCUCAUCUUGUAUGCAUUUGAACCAAACUAUAUCAGUAAUGGAAUCAAAGAUUGAGGGUGAGUUUUCAGAUGAUGCUGAUAUGGUACCACUUUCCAAGAACAGAGCAUGUGAUGGCAGGCAACGUACAGCUAGCGAAGCCAGUAACUUAGUCAGUGCCAGUUCAAGUCAUGAUUCAUUGUGUGAAAAUGCUCAAAGCAAAGCGACUACGAGGACCUGUGAUGCGCCUGAUGGGUUUGAAGAUGUUGAGAUGCUCCCAAAGUUGUCAUCAAGUAAAACCACUGUGCAAGAUGUGCUCCUUAAUGGAGGACGUGAUAUUGCUUCUCAAAGAACCUCAGGACGGCAUGAGGAGCAGCACGGAUUAGAAUGUCAUGGUGAUAACAUAUCAUGUGUUACUGGAGCUAAAGAAGAAAGCCAGCAUGGUACAACAACUAAAGAGUCUCUUCAGAAAAAAUGUUCUGGUAUUACUUCAGAAACUGCAGAUAUUUCCAACAAGUCUGACCCAUUGGGAUUUCCACCCUCAAAUAAUGUCAAUGCACACAAUAAUUCACCAAAAUUGCAGCUUCCACAUUCUCUUUCUCAAAGAGGCAAUUCAUUAUUUUCUCGUGGAGAUUCUAAAGAUUUGGAAGACAAUUCAAGUUCCCAGCUUAUGGCAGAGACUCCUGAAUGCUCCAUAGAACACACUGAUUCUUCAUUGGCAGAACCUCCGACAAGUAAGGCUGUUGAUGGCCAGAAAUCUGGUGGACUUCCACCUGUUACUAUCGUUCCAAAAAUUGAAGGUAGUAAAGCAAGUCUCAUCAAACGUAGUUUUUCUUCAUCCACUGAAACUGGAGGCCACAAGGAUGGUAACCCACCAAUGAAGUCUAUAAAAUGUUCAGAUAAUAAGCAGCAAUCUGGAAAGUCAAGUGCCUCUUUGGAAGUUUCUGAUAUGCAGGAACAACCUCCACAAUCUCAGCCCAUCGCAGAGUGUGAAAAUUCUGGAUCAGACAUUCUAGAGGAUGAUGUAAAGGUCUGUGAUAUAUGUGGAGAUACAGGCCGGGAGGAGAUGCUUGCUAUUUGUAGCAGAUGCAGUGAUGGCGCAGAGCACACCUAUUGCAUGAGAAUAAUGCUCGAUGAACUUCCAGAAGGUGAUUGGCUAUGUGAAGAAUGCCUCCUGAAGGAGGAUGCUGAAACCCAAAAUGUGGAUAAAGUGGAGGGGACAUCAGCAACUAUAAAAGCACCAUCCUCAAAUGAAAAAAAUCAAAACCAUGGAGGCACCUUCAAUCCUAAGCUUCUCUCUAAGUUGGAUAUCAAAUCUCAGGAAACAGAGGGAAACCAAGCUGUAAAAGUAGCCACAAGUCCACAGCUGUCUGCUAAAAGACUAGCAGAUAAUCUGGAAGUUCCUUCAGUGUCAAAAAGACAGGCCAUUGAAAUGAGCACUGGAUCACCAGGGACUACCAGCCCUGGCAGAAGACCUGCACUGUCUCGAGAGAAUUCAUUCAAGAACUUCGAUGUGGGGAAAGUCAAGCCGGGCCAUUUGUUACCUUCAUCUGCAAGUCGCUCGGGCAACAGUUCUCAAGAGGUUCCCCGCUCCCUUACUUCUCCAGGUCCUAACUCAUCCAGGAUGCAAGCACUCCUUCAGUCACCUCGAGGUGUACUUUCUAAGUCAGCUACUUUCAACAACUCAAGCUUGAAACCAAAAGUAAAACAGAUAUUUGAAGAUGUUGCUCAAAAGAAAAAAAUGGAAAGACAAUCUUCUAUAAGUAGCACAAGAAAGGAGAAAUUGAAUAGAAGUAUUGACAGAUCUAUGUCAUUCAAAACCACAAGCUCAGGCCACUCAAAUGCCAAUGAAUCAAGAACUAAAUUGCAAUCUCCAAAUUUAUCUCGUGCUGAGGAUCCAAGAGGCUUGAAGCAAUCAAAAGAACAUAAUCUAAUAGAGAGGAAGAAUUCUUUUAAAUUGGAUUGCUCAUUGGUUAGUUCAUCACCAAUGGCCAGUCCAAAGAGCAUGUUCCAUGAUGAAAGUAUGUCAUUGCUUGGCUCCAUGAACAAUUCGCGUGAUCCAAAGGCUGCACGCCACGACAGGAAAUUAAACACUCCAUCUGACCCUGCUACUUUCCCUGCUAAAAGAGGAUCAGAAAAUCCAACUACUCCAGUGAAGAAGCAGCCAUCAUGCUUAUCCAGUGGUUUUGCUGUUCCAUCUUCAAAUGGGAAGUACAGUUCUGAGGGACAAAAGCCAUGCCAAGUUGGCCCUAAGGAAGACACAACAGUUUUUUCUCGUGCAGCUGAUGGAUUGUGUGGUGGUCGCGAUGUAACUUUGCAAGAUGGCUUGCUUCGAUCACAGGAAUCCACAAACCAAGAUAGAAAAAGCAAGGAGCCUUCCUCUUUCAGCUUGUCUGGGCAGAAUGUUUCAUCUGGAACUGCAAGUAAACAUGUUCGAUGCCAAAGAUGUAAUGAAGUGGGUCAUACUCUACAAUUUUGUCCAGCUGUGAGCCUUCGUGUUUCUGCUCUCAAGGCUUCUGCUGUGAGAAGUUCAAGGGAGGUGACCCACAAAAGCAACAAGUGGAAAGAUGCUGUAGAAGCAGCCAUGACAAAGACUAGGCUACAUAAAAGUAAUAGAUUGCCUGAUCAAUCAGAGGAAUUAUCUUUGUCAAGUACUGAUUUGAGCUUUGAAGUAGCUUCUAAAGAUCAAUUAUCAAGUUCUUCAAGCUGUUUGAGGAAUUUUUCCCCAGAAGGCACAUUUGAUGAGCAAGAGGCUUUGAGGAGCUCCACUGCUGAUUCUCGUGGAACUGCAGCUGCAUCUACUAUCAAUUCUAAUCAACAAACUGCAUAUUUGAAAGAAAUAGCAUGUGCUUCCAGAGAAGAGAACUUGAAUGGUCCUCUUUUGGAUGCAACUAAACCAAAGCCUUACAUGAUAAAUUUGCCAAAUCAAGCUCCUACACUUGCCAACCCUUUCAGAAUUUCAGCCAUUCCGGAGUAUGAUUACAUAUGGCAGGGCGGCAUUGAGGUGCAGAGAAGUGGAAGAAUUCCUGACUUCUGUGAUGGGAUUCAAGCACACCUGUCAACUUGUGCAUCACUGAAAGUUUUUGAAGUAGUGAAGAAGUUCCCUUGUAAACUCCAGUUGGAGGAAGUUCACCGAUUGAGCUCAUGGCCAAUUCAAUUCCAGCACGACUGUGCCACUGAAGAUAACAUUGCUCUCUACCUCUUCGCUAAAGAUAUGGAUAGUUACGAAAGGAAUUACAAGAAGUUGUUAGAAAAUAUGCUAAAGAAUGAUUUGGCUCUUAAAGGGAACUUUGAGGGAAUUGAGCUUCUCAUAUUUCCAUCAAACCAGCUCCCUGAGAAAUCCCAGCGUUGGAAUAGAUUAUUUUUCCUUUGGGCCGUAUUCAAAGUAAGGAGUACAGAUUGCUCAAAAUUGAAUCCUGGUUCUCAAAAGAAGAUCUGUGGAGCUAGUUCGGAUCUGGACCCUUUGGCCCAAGAUUUGGCCCGCCCUGCCAUGACUGAGGCUGCUAUGUCCCAGAACAUAUGUUCUUAUGGGCAUAUGGAUCAGGAAUUGUCCAACCUCAGAUCACCCAAAGCACCAGAAGUAAUCAAAUCUACUUCUGUGGAUUUGCCGUUUUUAUCGUCUUCUGGUGAAGGGGAUGGUAAUACUUACAUAACAGGAUCAACUCUUCAUCCAAGGUCCACUUUUCAUGAACUCAAAGAGUCAGCAGUUGAUGACACACAUUCAUCUGACAAGAACACUUCGUGUUUAUCGUCUUCUGGGAGAGGGGAUGGCAAUACUUACGUAACAGGUUCAACUCCUGAUCAGAGACCCACUUUUCAUGAACUCAAAGAGUCAGCAGUUGAUGACACACAUUCAUCUGAGAAGAACGCCUCAUGUUUAAUUCAUGGAUUUCAUCCAUCGGCGAGUGUUAAUCAGAUGACAAGUUUAUGUGAGACCUGUUCUUCAUCGAAGAUUCCGAUGAAAAGUCCGCAGUUGUGCUCAGAAGUGAAAAGCAAAUGUACCUCUUUGAAAGAAGUUUAUAGAGAUUCCCAAAGCGGAAUGGAUGUGAGGCUCGAACCUUCUGUUCAAGCAGCAGCUGUGCAAAGUGUUCUUAGUAAAGGUAAAGCAGCGCCAAUGUGCUCAGACAGUUCUAAUGGCAGACAAGCAGGCCUAGCUUCAGGCUCACGAGACAGACAAGAUACUUCAUCUGUCUCAUCCAAGAUACUUCCAGUCACAACUCAUGUUCCAGAAGUAGCUGCUGUGGGUGGCAGAGAUCAGGAGGAAGUGGACUCGGACAAGGAGAAAUUGAUGCAUUCUGUAACUUCCUUGGAGGUGGAUGUUUGGAGGGAGCAAACAAAGCAAGAAGAGAGCACCUGGGAAGUGAGGGCUGGCAGGAAACGCUCACACUCAAUUUCUUCCGAGACAAUCUCAGAAGCUUCUGGUGAAACGUCGAUGAAGACUAGUGAAGCGAUGGUGCACAAAGAGAUGACCGAUUGUGUUCUGGUUGAUGGAGAAAAGCAAAGGAAGAAAAUGAGGACAGGUUCUCAUGAACAGAUUUUGAGGGAUGGAUUUUCUCCUGAAAUAAUUGAGCUGGACUCUAGCAUCCUAAAGGAGGAGCAGAAAGGACAUUGUGCUGAUGACAACACCAUUGUCUCCAAGAGCUCCAGAACAACCGAAAGGUACUUAUUUCCGGUGAAUUCAGGUCCUGUUAGAGACUUAAUAUCCGGCGACUCCAUACCAUGUCAUAUAGUUUCGUCAGACGAUGAGGACUUGCCUGAUUCUGACCUCCCAAAUCUCGAACUUGCAUUGGGGGAUGUAAAGAAACCAUCGAAACGGGGGAUCUUGCCUUUGUUUGUGCCAUUGGUGGAUGAGAAAAGCAACCAAAGCAAGCUUCAAGAUCCUAUGAAAGAUGAUGGGUGUGAUGACGUGUCAGCUUCUCUUUCUCUCUCCCUUGCUUUCCCUUUCUCCAGAAAGGAAGAUACUGCAAAUUCUGCUCCGAAGAAAGACCAGCUCCUGCCUGAGAGGCACAAUCAUGUCAGCACGUCGCUGCUGCUCUUUGGUGGCUUUCCUGACACUUGAAUCCAUAGAGGGACGUGUGCCUUGUACAUUGAUCACCAUCACUCCAUGGCAUUGUCAGCGUAUACUGGGAUCAUUGAGCAUCAACUGUGAGAUUGAUAAGAGCCCCUCCAUUUGUUCAUAACCACACAAAAUCCACAAGUCAUCUUUUUCUUCUUCUUCUUUCUUCCUCCUACUCUUCUUUUCGGGCUACAGAGUCGAGGCUGUUUGUACAUAUCAGAGAAGGCCGCGGUCCAAUUUCAUGCGGGUCUCUGGACAGGUGUCUGAUUUAGGUUGGUAAUGGGAACUUGCUUGUGACAUCAAAAAGAGCUAUCGGCGAUGGAAGUGGACCACUGCGCAGCAUGCCAAGAAGCCAUGCGGUGAAUCUACGUCCUCUGCCUAAUCAGAUCUAUGGUAUGUAAAACUAAAGCCUGCUGCCACUGCCUUACUAGCAUCUCUUGGUCUACAGGAGCUAGUACCAUAUGUUAGGGAAGGAUUCCUUGGCUUGUUAAGGGGCUAUGGACUGAAAAUGUUCAAUUCUCCGUAUCUUGGUUUGCAAAAGCAAUCACUCAUCUAAACUGUUUUCUCCAAGAGUGUAUCAAAUGCAUUGAAUGGCAGGAAGUAAUUAGAUUGCGGGUCCCAUUGGACGGCCUAAUUACUUUUGGCAGUGAAGCCUUGGGGCGGUGAUUAAGAUCAUGGAUCUAACUCAAAGAUUAAGCAUAUGCCACCACUCUCCCAUACUCUGCAGUGCCCUUGAAAGCUAUUUGGUCCCCCUAACUAUCGAUGGAAUGAAGCAUGCAUCUAUAGAUAUGGAGAUAGACGUGGAUUAUCAAGAUCCUUUGAUGUGAUUAUCAGGCCUGUUGAAAAUGAUGGUGCACUAUGGAGCUUCCCAGGCAGAAUGGGGAGGAAUUGGAUUCGAUCCAACUGAUUGUUAAACCAUUGCUUUGGCAUCAACCAUGUUCUAAUAGCCUGUGCAC
Magnolia sinica is the source of this 6629-nucleotide RNA transcript. RefSeq lists it as uncharacterized. The record is from RefSeq and is a predicted model, not a curated record. Lineage: Eukaryota; Viridiplantae; Streptophyta; Magnoliopsida; Magnoliales; Magnoliaceae. The transcript has 13 exons.